Molecule: non-coding RNA, 189 nt
Filed under: Oxobacter pfennigii
Lineage: Bacteria; Bacillati; Bacillota; Clostridia; Eubacteriales; Clostridiaceae
Description: 6S / SsrS RNA
Rfam family: 6S / SsrS RNA
About the family: E. coli 6S RNA was the first non coding RNA to be sequenced, but its function was unknown until recently. It consists of 184 nucleotides that fold into an extended hairpin structure with a large single-stranded internal bulge. The 6S RNA specifically associates with RNA polymerase holoenzyme containing the sigma70 specificity factor.
Source: Rfam by way of RNAcentral
AAAUUUCUGAAAUAUUCGUCAGACUUAUAUUUUGAACCUACAGAGUUAAUAAGGGAGUCCUAUAUCUCAUCACUGAUAUCAGGCCCAGUGUAAGUCCAUUUAUGGCAGGGGAAGAUAGAGGUAUGUAUGCGGACACCCACCUAUCGAGAGAUAGGUGUCAAAAUUAAGCAACGGUAUUUCGGAUAAAAG